AUUGAACGCUGGCAGAAUGCUUUACACAUGCAAGUCGAACGGCAACAGGUUAAGCUGACGAGUGGCGAACGGGUGAGUAAUAUAUCGGAACGUGCCCAGUCGUGGGGGAUAACGUAGCGAAAGCUACGCUAAUACCGCAUACGAUCUACGGAUGAAAGCGGGGGAUCGCAAGACCUCGCGCGUUUGGAGCGGCCGAUAUCAGAUUAGGUUGUUGGUGAGGUAAAAGCUCACCAAGCCUGCGAUCUGUAGCUGGUCUGAGAGGACGACCAGCCACAGUGGAAGUGCGACGCGGUCCAGACUACUACGGGAGGCAGGAGUGGGGAAGUUUGGACGGUGGACGCAAGUCUGAUCCAGCAAUGCCACGUGCAGGACGAAGGCCUUCGGGUUGUGAACUGCUUUUGUACGGAACGAAACGGUGAGCUCUAAUACAGUUUGCUAAUGACGGGACCGUAAGAAUGAGCACCGGCUAACUACGUGCCAGCCGCCGCGGUAA
This 493-nucleotide ribosomal RNA is filed under the name uncultured bacterium. RNAcentral describes it as "partial 16S ribosomal RNA". It matches the Rfam family "Bacterial small subunit ribosomal RNA", at positions 30 to 523 of the family's 1533-position model. The record is from RNAcentral.